UUUCAACAACUCUCCUUCUUCCACUUUCCUUUGUCUUUGGAAGAUCAAGAAGCUUACCUUCUGCCAAGUCUCCUCUCUUUUUCAAGAUUUUCUUACUUGGUCUUAUCGGGUUCAUGUCGCAGAUCGUUGGUUGUAAAGGUAUUGUAUAUAGCUCCCCAACUCUUGCCUCUGCUAUCAGCAAUCUGACACCAG
This is a non-coding RNA of Camelina sativa (false flax), 192 nucleotides long. Lineage: Eukaryota; Viridiplantae; Streptophyta; Magnoliopsida; Brassicales; Brassicaceae. The record is from RefSeq and is a predicted model, not a curated record.